This 468-nucleotide ribosomal RNA is filed under the name uncultured bacterium. RNAcentral's name for it is "partial 16S ribosomal RNA". It matches the Rfam family "Bacterial small subunit ribosomal RNA", at positions 28 to 507 of the family's 1533-position model. The record is from RNAcentral.
GACGAACGCUGGCGGCGUGCUUAACACAUGCCAGUCGAACGGAAAGGCCCUGCUUUUGUGGGGUGCUCGAGUGGCGAACGGGUGAGUAACACGUGAGUAACCUGCCCUUGACUUUGGGAUAACUUCAGGAAACUGGGGCUAAUACCGGAUAGGAGCUCCUGCUGCAUGGUGGGGGUUGGAAAGUUUCGGCGGUUGGGGAUGGACUCGCGGCUUAUCAGCUUGUUGGUGGGGUAGUGGCUUACCAAGGCUUUGACGGGUAGCCGGCCUGAGAGGGUGACCGGCCACAUUGGGACUGAGAUAGGGCCCAGAAUCCUACGGGAGGCAACAGUGGAGAGUAUUGCACAAUGGGCGGAAGCCUGAUGCAGCAACGCCGCGUGCGGGAUGACGGCCUUCGGGUUGUAAACCAAUUUCGCCGGUGACGAAGCGUGAGUGACGGUAAUGGGUAAAGAAGCACCGGCUAACUACGUG